This 969-nucleotide ribosomal RNA is filed under the name Chryseobacterium sp. RNAcentral describes it as "bacterial SSU rRNA". It matches the Rfam family "Bacterial small subunit ribosomal RNA", at positions 97 to 1071 of the family's 1533-position model. The record is from RNAcentral. Lineage: Bacteria; Pseudomonadati; Bacteroidota; Flavobacteriia; Flavobacteriales; Weeksellaceae.
GGCGUACGGGUGCGGAACACGUGUGCAACCUGCCUUUAUCAGGGGGAUAGCCUUUCGAAAGGAAGAUUAAUACCCCAUAAUAUUUAGAAUGGCAUCAUUUUAAAUUGAAAACUCCGGUGGAUAGAGAUGGGCACGCGCAAGAUUAGAUAGUUGGUGAGGUAACGGCUCACCAAGUCUGCGAUCUUUAGGGGGCCUGAGAGGGUGAUCCCCCACACUGGUACUGAGACACGGACCAGACUCCUACGGGAGGCAGCAGUGAGGAAUAUUGGACAAUGGGUGCGAGCCUGAUCCAGCCAUCCCGCGUGAAGGACGACGGCCCUAUGGGUUGUAAACUUCUUUUGUAUAGGGAUAAACCUACUCUCGUGAGAGUAGCUGAAGGUACUAUACGAAUAAGCACCGGCUAACUCCGUGCCAGCAGCCGCGGUAAUACGGAGGGUGCAAGCGUUAUCCGGAUUUAUUGGGUUUAAAGGGUCCGUAGGCUGAUCUGUAAGUCAGUGGUGAAAUCUCACAGCUUAACUGUGAAACUGCCAUUGAUACUGCAGGUCUUGAGUGUUAUUGAAGUAGCUGGAAUAAGUAGUGUAGCGGUGAAAUGCAUAGAUAUUACUUAGAACACCAAUUGCGAAGGCAGGUUACUAAGCAACAACUGACGCUGAUGGACGAAAGCGUGGGGAGCGAACAGGAUUAGAUACCCUGGUAGUCCACGCCGUAAACGAUGCUAACUCGUUUUUGGGCUUUCGGGUUCAGAGACUAAGCGAAAGUGAUAAGUUAGCCACCUGGGGAGUACGUUCGCAAGAAUGAAACUCAAAGGAAUUGACGGGGGCCCGCACAAGCGGUGGAUUAUGUGGUUUAAUUCGAUGAUACGCGAGGAACCUUACCAAGGCUUAAAUGGGAAAUGACAGGUUUAGAAAUAGACUUUUCUUCGGACAUUUUUCAAGGUGCUGCAUGGUUGUCGUCAGCUCGUGCCGUGAG